UACGAAGGGGGCUAGCGUUGUUCGGAAUUACUGGGCGUAAAGCGUGCGCAGGCGGCUUCUCAAGUCAGGGGUGAAAGCCCAGAGCUCAACUCUGGAAUUGCCUUUGAGACUGAGUGGCUUGAGUACGAGAGAGGUGAGUGGAACUGCGAGUGUAGAGGUGAAAUUCGUAGAUAUUCGCAAGAACACCAGUGGCGAAGGCGGCUCACUGGCCCGAUACUGACGCUGAGGUGCGAAAGCGUGGGGAGCAAACAGG
RNAcentral lists this ribosomal RNA (253 nucleotides) under uncultured bacterium. RNAcentral's name for it is "partial 16S ribosomal RNA". It matches the Rfam family "Bacterial small subunit ribosomal RNA", at positions 524 to 776 of the family's 1533-position model. The record is from RNAcentral.